This 274-nucleotide ribosomal RNA is filed under the name uncultured bacterium. RNAcentral's name for it is "partial 16S ribosomal RNA". It matches the Rfam family "Bacterial small subunit ribosomal RNA", at positions 523 to 796 of the family's 1533-position model. The record is from RNAcentral.
CUACGUAGGGUGCGAGCGUUAAUCGGAAUUACUGGGCGUAAAGCGUGCGCAGGUGGUUUUGUAAGUCAGAUGUGAAAUCCCCGGGCUUAACCUGGGAACUGCGUUUGAAACUGCAAGGCUAGAGUGUGACAGAGGGGGGUGGAAUUCCGCGUGUAGCAGUGAAAUGCGUAGAGAUGUGGAGGAACACCGAUGGCGAAGGCAGCCCCCUGGGUCAACACUGACGCUCAGGCACGAAAGCAUGGGGAGCAAACAGAAUUAGAUACCCGAGUAGUCC